CUUGAAAGCUGAUUGAGAUAGUUCUUAAACUUUCCCUAAAAACUACAGCAACGAUUUGACAAGGAGGUCAAAUCGAGCGAAAACGCAACACGACGUUGCGUAUGAGCGUUUACGUCCGUAUAAAAACAUAGACGGAAAGUUUUAGAAAUAUCCAAUCAGCUUUCUCG
This 167-nucleotide non-coding RNA is filed under the name unclassified sequences. The record is from Rfam.